RNAcentral lists this unclassified non-coding RNA (285 nucleotides) under plant metagenome. RNAcentral describes it as "partial contains small subunit ribosomal RNA, internal transcribed spacer 1, and 5.8S ribosomal RNA". The stretch from base 1 to 54 matches the Rfam family "Eukaryotic small subunit ribosomal RNA", at positions 1778 to 1831 of the family's 1831-position model. The record is from RNAcentral.
GGAAGUAAAAGUCUUAACAAGGUUUCCGUAGGUGAACCUGCGGAAGGAUCAUUAUUGUAUAACCGAGGUGCAAGGGCUGUCGCUGACCCGAAAGGUCGUGCACGCCCGAGUGCCCUCACACACAUCCAUCUCACCCCUAUGUGCACCACCGCGUGGGUCCCCCUUUGGCUUGUUCGGAGGGGGGCUUACGUUUUCACACAAACUUUGUAUGCAGUGUAGAAUGUAUUUUUUGUUUUUGCGAUCACGCAAUCAAUACAACUUUCAACAACGGAUCUCUUGGCUCUC